Suricata suricatta (meerkat) is the source of this 672-nucleotide long non-coding RNA. RefSeq lists it as uncharacterized. The transcript is spliced from 4 exons. NCBI's taxonomy places the organism in Eukaryota, Metazoa, Chordata, Mammalia, Carnivora, Herpestidae. The record is from RefSeq and is a predicted model, not a curated record.
AAAGUGGAUGAGCAAGAAGAAGGACUCUCAAGGGGAUGAAAGACAAUCCAAACAAUGUUUAAAUCAAUGGACUGAAGUGCUGGGGAGAUGAUGAAGCAUAAUCAGAUUUGCAAAUUUUGAGCAUCAACACUCCAAGCAAUAUGGAGGCAAUACAGGAGAGGAACCUGGUGGCAAGCACACAGAAGAGUUGGGAAACGUCUGUGAUCCAGCGGAACUUAUCUCUACUUCUUGAUGUGAAGAGCAGCGUGUGCCUACCAGGACAAAAGGAACUGAUCGUGCCAUCUUGAAGACUACCUACCAUGCCUUGGUUUUAUCGAUUCAAUACCCUAUUCAAUACCCUAUUACUUCUAUGUCUAGAUUUUCUUUUACAUCAUGUUUCGGUCUUGUGCUAUGAUGACAACAUGGACUUAUUUAUGACCAUGAGGAAAUCAUAAUGGCUAACAGAGAAGCUAGGAAACCGGAAACACUGAACUUGAAGAAUCAUGCCAUAUUUUGGUAUCCUAUCACUAAUAUAUGGUAGUCCAUUUAUAAAAAUAAAAUAAUUAUGAAAUCCUCAACACAAAUACACAGAUCUAUGUGCAAAUAAACAUAAACAAAUAGGUAUAUGAAUUAAGUGGAAAACAGCAUACGGUGAAAUAAUUUCAUGUGCAUCAUCAAUGAAAUAAAGUUGUU